This 424-nucleotide ribosomal RNA is filed under the name uncultured bacterium. RNAcentral describes it as "bacterial SSU rRNA". It matches the Rfam family "Bacterial small subunit ribosomal RNA", at positions 355 to 776 of the family's 1533-position model. The record is from RNAcentral.
UAGGGAAUAUUGGGCAAUGGAUGCAAGUCUGACCCAGCCAUGCCGCGUGCCGGAUGAAGGCCCUCAGGGUUGUAAACGGCUUUUAUUCGGGAAGAAGAGCAGGGAUGCGUCCCUGUGUGACGGUACCGAAUGAAUAAGCACCGGCUAACUCCGUGCCAGCAGCCGCGGUAAUACGGAGGGUGCGAGCGUUGUCCGGAUUUAUUGGGUUUAAAGGGUGCGUAGGUGGCUUGUUAAGUCAGUGGUGAAAUACAGCCGCUCAACGGUUGAGGUGCCAUUGAUACUGACAAGCUUGAAACAAGUGGAGGUUGCCGGAAUGGAUGGUGUAGCGGUGAAAUGCAUAGAUAUCAUCCAGAACACCGAUUGCGAAGGCAGGUGACUACGUUUGAUUUGACACUGAGGCACGAAAGCAUGGGGAGCAAACAGG